UCACACCAUGGGAGUGGGUUUCACCAGAAGUAGGUAUCCUAACCGUAAGGAGGGCGCUUAUCACGGUGGGAUUCAUGACUGGGGUGAAGUCGUAACAAGGUAGCCGUAUCGGAAGGUGCGGCUGGAUCACCUCCUUUUAGA
This 141-nucleotide ribosomal RNA is filed under the name Providencia rettgeri. RNAcentral describes it as "partial 16S ribosomal RNA". It matches the Rfam family "Bacterial small subunit ribosomal RNA", at positions 1397 to 1533 of the family's 1533-position model. Lineage: Bacteria; Pseudomonadati; Pseudomonadota; Gammaproteobacteria; Enterobacterales; Morganellaceae. The record is from RNAcentral.